Molecule: small RNA, 34 nt
Filed under: Bombyx mori (domestic silkworm)
Lineage: Eukaryota; Metazoa; Arthropoda; Insecta; Lepidoptera; Bombycidae
Description: ovarian small RNA-14845
Source: RNAcentral
CUGAAAUGGUUUCCGUGACUAUGACUUGCAUAAU